Molecule: long non-coding RNA, 615 nt
Organism: Styela clava
Lineage: Eukaryota; Metazoa; Chordata; Ascidiacea; Stolidobranchia; Styelidae
Source: RefSeq, a predicted model, not a curated record
AUGGGUAUUAAUUAAGGAGUGAAUAAAAAUGGCAAAGUACUUCUUGUACUAAAUUCAAUUCUCGACUUGCUUGGCGUCUAUCUGGACACCCUAUUUUAUUACGCGUUCCAAGAACUAAGGAUAACAGUAAUUUUAGUGAUUAAAAUUUCAGAAGCUGGAUGUUAAAAAUUAUUUCAAAACAGAAAACUCUGAUUUUAGUUACGGGUUCCAUUAAAUACAUUUAUAAUUUAUUUCAAUAAAAAAACUGAUUGUGACGUGCUUAUAUUUUGCCGAAAUAAAAUAGAUAAAAGCGAUAUAAAUUUAUCAUGAAGAUUACAUGUUUAGCGCUGCUUGUGUUUGUGUUUCUUGUGAUGAUGGAUGGGAAUUCAUUGGUUGCAUCAGACUCACAGGCGACAGGUUACACAGACGGCCAAUCGACACAUGAUGGUGGAGGUGGAUCAUGGGGAAGAAAGAAGAGAUCUUUUGUUGAAGGAAAUGACUCUGAUGAUGCUUUAACUAUUCUCGAACAUCUCGGAUGAUAGACUCACUCAACAAUAUAGUCCUGAAAAAACUUUAUUUCCAUGUCUGUUUUAUUUUCUGACUCAGAUUUAAAUAUAGUACGUUGACACUACAUUG